RNAcentral lists this ribosomal RNA (633 nucleotides) under uncultured bacterium. RNAcentral describes it as "bacterial SSU rRNA". It matches the Rfam family "Bacterial small subunit ribosomal RNA", at positions 338 to 1416 of the family's 1533-position model. The record is from RNAcentral.
CCUACGGGAGGCAGCAGUAAGGAAUACUGGACAAUGGACGCAAGUCUGAUCCAGCCAUGCCGCGUGAAGGAUUAAGGCCCUCUGGGUUGUAAACUUCUUUUAUAGGGGACGAAAAAAGGGCUUUCUAGCUCGUCUGACGGUACCCUAUGAAUAAGCACCGGCUAACUCCGUGCCAGCAGCCGCGGUAAUACGGAGGGUGCAAGCGUUAUCCGGAUUCACUGGGUUUAAAGGGUGCGUAGGCGGGCAGUUAAGUCAGUGGUGAAAUCUUCGAGCUCAACUCGGAAACUGCCAUUGAUACUAUCUGUCUUGAAUACUGUGGAGGUGAGCGGAAUAUGUCAUGUAGCGGUGAAAUGCUUAGAUAUGACAUAGAACACCGAUUGCGAAGGCAGCUCGCUACACAAAUAUUGACGCUGAGGCACGAAAGCGUGGGGAUCAAACAGGAUUAGAUACCCUGGUAGUCCACGCCCUAAACUAUGGAUACUCGACAUUUGCGAUACACAGUAAAGUGUCUGAGCGAAAGCAUUAAGUAUCCCACCUGGAAGUACGACCGCAAGGUCGAAACUUAACAAAGUAGUAAGUUAGGACGGCGUAGACGACGUUCGACCGGAGGACCACACGGGAGGGGAGGUAGGG